RNAcentral lists this ribosomal RNA (712 nucleotides) under uncultured bacterium. Its description in RNAcentral is "bacterial SSU rRNA". It matches the Rfam family "Bacterial small subunit ribosomal RNA", at positions 293 to 996 of the family's 1533-position model. The record is from RNAcentral.
UUAGAGGGUGGUCGGCCGCACUGGGACUGAGACACUGCCCAGACUCCUACGGGAGGCUGCAGUCGAGAAUCUUCCGCAAUGGGCGCAAGCCUGACGGAGCGACGCCGCGUGGAGGACGAAGGCCUUCGGGUUGUAAACUCCUGUCACGAGUUAAGAACGGCAUGUGGCGAACAGCCGUAUGCUUUGACGUAAGCUCGAGAGGAAGCACUGGCUAACUCUGUGCCAGCAGCCGCGGUAGUACAGAGAGUGCAAACGUUGUUCGGAAUCACUGGGCUUAAAGCGCACGUAGGCGGCAUCGCAAGUGUGGGGUGAAAUCCCACGGCUUACCCGUGGAACUGCCUGGCAGACUGCGGUGCUAGAGUGUGGUAGGGGAGAGCGGAACUCCUGGUGGAGCGGUGAAAUGCGUAGAUAUCAGGAGGAACACCGGUGGCGAAGGCGGCUCUCUGGUCCACAACUGACGCUGAGGUGCGAAAGCUAGGGGAGCAAACGGGAUUAGAUACCCCGGUAGUCCUAGCCGUAAACGAUGGGCACUAGCUUGGGGUCUCCCUGUGGGAUCCCAGGUGAAGCAAAAGUGAUAAGUGCCCCGCCUGGGGGAGUAUGGUCGCAAGGCUGGAACUCAAAGGAAUUGACGGGGGCUCACACAAGCGGUGGAGCAUGUGGUUUAAUUCGAAGCAACGCGAAGAACCUUACCCAGGCUUGACAUGCAGGGGCU